Callorhinchus milii (elephant shark) is the source of this 4699-nucleotide RNA transcript. It is a transcript of the gene named protein phosphatase 1, regulatory subunit 3Ab, with no coding region annotated. The transcript has 6 exons. NCBI's taxonomy places the organism in Eukaryota, Metazoa, Chordata, Chondrichthyes, Chimaeriformes, Callorhinchidae. The record is from RefSeq and is a predicted model, not a curated record.
GCUGCGUUAAACUUGAGUGCCCCAGAUAUCCACAGCCACUAGUUGAGAGACCUUGCUUCGGGGUAUUUCAGACUCACUCAUGGAGUCGACUGUGAACGACCAAAUGUUUUGGGGAGCCAGUUUCCUGGAGCUGCCAGAUGAAAACGAUGUGUUCGCUGAGGACGAGGAGACGAAUGAGAGUUUGAUAAAGCCCAAGCUGUCUCCUCUUCCCCGAAGACGGAGAUCUUCAGAGGAGGACGAAAGUCCAGAACCUCCUACUACUCUUAACCGAAAGGUUUCCUUUGCCGAUACAUUUGGGCUAGAACUUGUAUCAGUCAGGGAAUAUGACAAAUGGGAUGUUCCGACAGGACCUCUCGGCUACAAUGUGCAGGAUGAGGGCCCACCUCCCGAGGAAUAUGUGCUAACACCAUCGUUUGAGGUGCCAGCCUCUCCCGAGGAACUUAUGGAAAAGGUUUUUGCGCAAAAAGUGGAACUAGAAUUCGUGGAGUUUCCCCCUGAGUUCACGUCCAUGAAGGGAGUGAUCCGUGUGCAGAACAUAGCAUAUGAAAAGCUGGUAUACGUUCGAGUGACACUUAACAAUUGGGACAGCUACUGCGACCUGCCAGCUGAAUACACCCCUGGUUUCUGCGACGAUGAAACCGACCAAUUCACCUUUAAAGUAUCAUUCGUGCCCCCCGAACGCAAAGAUGGGGGCAAAGUUGAAUUUGCCAUAUGCUAUGAAACGCCUAUCGGUACGUACUGGGCAAAUAACAAUCAGAAAAAUUAUGGGCUGUUAUGUCACAAGAAAGUAACAGAAAACCCUCAAGAAGAAAUCAGUGAUAGAAAUUUAAGAAGCUGUCUAAAGACUUCAUAUGGCAAAGAGUCCUUCGAAUCAACUUUGGAUAUCAACCUUGGGACACAACCGAACACAGAAGAUCAACAAGAGGAAGGAUGGAUGGAUUUGGAAAUGAAUACAUUCAAAAAAUGGAAUAGUGAAAUCCUGUUUGACGAAAACACAGAAGGCAAAACAAAAAAUAAACAGCAGCCAGACACACAGAUAUGUCAGUCAUUGCAUAUUUCACUGACCAACCCGAGGGGGCAGGAAACAAGUCUGGCAUUUGUGGAAGGAUCACACACUGAGAAUGAAGAGAAGAAUGGGAAGCAUGAUCUCACCGUCAGCAGACUACCACUCAUUCACCAGCAAGAGAUUGAAAGCAUUCAGCUCACAGAUGUAACCAAUGACAUAUCGGCCCAGACAAAGCAAGGGGAAGAAUCAGAGUUGCCUGCAGUGGUUCUGGACAGCACUUGCAAUCUCUCAAGUCAGAGUCACGAGGGACAUAUAAAUACAACAGUGCAAACCAACAGUGCAAACAUUAUUACAAACAAUGAAAACACAAUGACCCAAUCUUCUAAUUUGUUUUGUAUAAAUGAAACACAUUUAAUGCAUGAAGACAACUCUCCUCAGUCUCAGAGAAGGGAAGAAGCUUUAAGAUCAUAUGUGACUGAUACAUCCACUAAAUCUAUGCUAAACAUAAGCAGUCUAUUACAUUUAUCAGAUGAUGAAUCACAGCAUGUCUCUGCUAAUGAUGUAUGGGAGAAUUUGGUGACUGUUGAAGACAUAGACAGAUGUGGUGAACCUUCCAAUAAUUCAUCAGAAUCUACAGAUUUACUGCAUGAGAAAACAGAUGCUAAAGAUGCAAGUGAUGAACCUGUUUAUCUAACUGGUGAUACAUCAACUGAUGAAUCAGAGUCUGCCCUCAUCUCUUUAUUGUGCAAUAGUACUCAACUGGAGUCUGAGCCACAGAAAAUCAGUGUAUCAUCCAGCCAAUUAAUCUCAUCAGAAGGAGGAAAGGUUUUAAUGAAAGCAGAUUGUGAGCAAGGAAUGAUUAAACCCUGGUGUUACACUGAAACUGAAAAUGAAGACAAUGCAAGGCAAGAAAAGGACAUGGACAACCUAGAUUUUUCUGAACAACCAAUAAUUUUAGCAAAUAAGGAGACAGAAGUGCAAGAUCCGAUUGACAAGGUGUCUACUGCAGUUCAUUUUGAGAUUGAAAAAGAAAUGUCCAGUCCUUUCAAAGCUGCUAUUAAAGAAGAACGAUCUUAUAAUGCACACUUAAAUUGUGAAGAAACUGUGGUAGAAACGGUGCAACAUGUGCACAAUGCUCCAGAUACUGUAGAGACAAAAGAGAUAGUAACUGGUCUUGAGGACAUUCCAUCUUCAAAUCAUCUGGAAAUUGCAAAUGCAUUAAAGGUUGAAAUUGCAGAAAAAUGUAGAGAGAUUGAAGAAACAAUACUUGAUAGUCCUCAGGAUGAAGAAAAAUAUCAAGCUUCUGCUGUAAAUAAUGAGAUGCCUGUAAAAAGUCUAGGGGUUGAUACACGUAUUGGUGGCGAUCAAAAAGAUACACUUAUAGCUACUCAAAAUACGAAACAAUUCAUUGAUGCUCCACCUCAUGGGUUAGUUGAUUCAAUAGUAAAGAAAGCAAUUGAAGAUGCUUUAUGCGAAAUUAGGAAAGAGGAGAGAACAACUGUCACAACUAUGUCACAAGAAUGCACAGCCACACAAUUUUCUCCAAACAUUGCAAUGUUUUCAGAAUCUGUACAGGAGGAGACCUCAACUUUUGAGUUGAUACCAAAUCAUAAAAAACCUUCCAAAAUCAAUGUUAUUCAUGAACAAACCAUGAAGUGCAAUCCACAAUUUUCUGAACAUAAAAACUUACUAAGUGCUGAAGCUAUCGCAGGAGGUGAGGAGACGGUAAAGAAUACAGUCAGCAAUUUCGAGGAAAAUACAAAAGAGCAAGAAAUUGCUGCAGUGUCGUGUUACCCCGGAAUAGUUCCGGAUAAAGAGACAUCACUUGGACUUUCGGGAGAUGUAAAGCAUUCAGUCGUAGCAUACAAUGAUACACAGGCUGUGAAACAAAACUUGAUCACUGAUGCCCUAGUGGUCCUGAAAAAAGAUGUUCCACAUUCAUUGAAGAUAGUUCCUCAUCUUUUGGAUGCCGGAGCAGGAGGAAUCUCGUCUGAAGCCACUAAUACUUGUGAAGGAAUAGCUGAAGAUGUUUCUAAGGAAGUAGACUUUAAAAUAGAGGAAUAUGGUCAGAUAAGACAUGUGCACACAGAGGAUGGAAAUGAGUUGACCAUCAAUUCUGCAGAACUGCCGGAAGAGAAAAUGCAUAAUAACAAGGUGGACUGUGAGGAUAAGAUUCAGAUGAACGUUAAGAGAUAUAUGGAAGAAUCCCAUUAUUAUAGUAUAGCAGAUGUUAAAAAAUGCAGUGAAGUGGAAACAGCAUUAACGUCUGAUCUAAAGGGUGCAGAAGAAAUGCCAAAUAUAAAAAUCAUUUUACAACCCAACGAUGAAAGAGUCGAACCCCAGAAUGAAGUAUUUACAUAUUUACAUGACACUGCAAAUGACAUAAAGUCUGAAACUAUGAACAAAAUAGUUUCUGCUCCUCCAGAGAUAGCAGAAGAGGAAGCAAGCUGUGCAUUAGAACCAGUACCUGAGAUAACUGGUAACCAACACUCUGGAGAAGGCCCUGAAGACCCUAUCGAGAAUCAGGGUGAAGCAAUUCAUACAUUUGCUGAAUCACAAGUUUCUCACCAUUUUGAAAGCAUAGCUGCUUGGGAAGAUAAUCAUCAGAUGGAAGUGAACGAGGGGAGUGGGCAAGAGGUGGUUAGGCCUACAAAUAAUGUGACGCUGGACCCAACCGCAUCAUCUUCAAGCAUUUCAGAAGGCAAGAAAAAUAAUGUGCAGAAAAGACACAGCUCUGAGCCCAGCUCCAAUCGCAAACGCAGAGGUCCAGUAAUAUUGUGACCAACAACAGUGGAAGCCACAGUUUUGAAAACCUUUUCCAUUUACCGCAAAGAAAGACACCCUCAUCCCCUUUGUCUGUGUUGGAGCCAAGGUGUUGAUGAGAUUAAAGGCAUUUAUGGCCAAUUUGAAAUGACACUUGGAUAACAGAGUGGUUCAAUACCUAAAGGCGUACAAAACCUGCUCUUGUGCCCAGACAGACCCAGAGGAGCUGGGUAAAACAAGACAGAUUAAGUAAUUGCAACAUUUAAUUUACUAUGGAUUCCAGAGGAUGUCAGAUAGCUGGAUUGCAAAACGCGGUGUGAUGGACGCUGACAUAAUAUCCUUGGCUCAAUCGGUAAUAUCCUUGUGCAGGUAGCUGAUUGCCGAGUUAUCAAAGAGCCUUGAGAAAAACUUUCCUUGAGAAAGGCUUACAUCUUUCAAAGCAAAUGGUACGAGUUUGCAUGGCAUCACCGAGCUGGAGCUUUUGUGGCCCGCAAUUAGGGCUUGCAAUCCCGGUAAUGGUGCUACUGAAAUUCAGGACUGCAACCCCUACCCAUGAUGGUUGGUUGUACGUUUGUGCCAGUGGUUGCCAUCAUAGCGAGUUAUUGAUUCCAGCCAAUUUUGCAGAAGGACGCUCAGAGCAAUGGCCAUCUGUUUCUCAGACGAGGAAAAUCUUACAUCUUAAGUUUUUAAAUUGCAGUGGGGUAUUGAAAAGAAACAGCCUGGCCCUGACUUCACACGCACACCGCACACACACACACAAACACACACACAGCCAACCACAGGUAUGAAUGAGUAGGCUUGCGUUUUCCUAAUAAUAAAGUCUCUGUCUUGAAGAUCUGUGUAGCUGCAGUUUUUAAUACAGAAGAACGUGCCUAUGUCAUAAAAUACUUUCUGUCAAAGCUUGUUUUUAAUGGUUGUAAGUAUUGGAAA